UUUGUAUUUAUUUUCUCUCAUAGUAAAGCUUGCAUGCUCCAUGGAGGUAAACCUUGGACUGAUCCACGUAUUUGACUGUAUUCUUUUUCUUAUUUAUCUUCUUCCUUCUUGUUGCCAUAUCAACAUCGUUACCUGCGUUAGCGAUCUUGGGCGGGGGAUCCGUAUUUCGCACUCAUGAGGAAUUCUUUCCAAUAAGUGAUAUCAGAGUACAUGGUUGUCCAGAUUACGUUGGUGUUGAUCGAGAUUGAAGAAGAUAAAGAAUACGAGCUCAAUCAAGAUGGAGAUCAACCGGUAUGAUGGAAAGAGCAAUUUCUCUCUAUGACAAUGAGGAUGAAGGAUGUGCUCAUCCAGCAAGGAUUAAUUGAUGCUUCUUUAUGCGAGAAGCCGACUUCCAUAAAGGAAAAAAGUUGGAAGCAACUCCAGAUGCAAACGGUGAGUAUG
Molecule: long non-coding RNA, 441 nt
Filed under: Elaeis guineensis (African oil palm)
Lineage: Eukaryota; Viridiplantae; Streptophyta; Magnoliopsida; Arecales; Arecaceae
Description: long non-coding RNA (EGUI_LNC007106)
Source: RNAcentral